This 459-nucleotide ribosomal RNA is filed under the name uncultured bacterium. RNAcentral describes it as "bacterial SSU rRNA". It matches the Rfam family "Bacterial small subunit ribosomal RNA", at positions 48 to 501 of the family's 1533-position model. The record is from RNAcentral.
CUUAGACAUGCAAGUCGAACGGCAGCACGGGUACUUGUACCUGGUGGCGAGUGGCGAACGGGUGAGUAAUACAUCGGAACGUACCUUAUCGUGGGGGAUAACGCAGCGAAAGCUGUGCUAAUACCGCAUACGCCCUGAGGGGGAAAGCGGGGGAUCGAAAGACCUCGCGCGAUUAGAGCGGCCGAUGCUUGAUUAGCUUGUUGGUGGGGUAAAAGCCCACCAAGGCGACGAUCAAUAGCUGGUCUGAGAGGACGAUCAGCCACACUGGGACUGAGACACGGCCCAGACUCCUACGGGAGGCAGCAGUGGGGAAUUUUGGACAAUGGGGGCAACCCUGAUCCAGCAAUGCCGCGUGAGUGAAGAAGGCCUUCGGGUUGUAAAGCUCUUUUGUCAGGGAAGAAACACCGGCUCUAACACAGUCCGGGAAUGACGGUACCUGAAGAAUAAGCACCGGCUAAC